This 273-nucleotide ribosomal RNA is filed under the name uncultured bacterium. Its description in RNAcentral is "partial 16S ribosomal RNA". It matches the Rfam family "Bacterial small subunit ribosomal RNA", at positions 524 to 796 of the family's 1533-position model. The record is from RNAcentral.
UACGAAGGGUGCAAGCGUUGUUCGGAAUCAUUGGGCGUAAAGCGCGCGCAGGCGGAUCAGCAAGUCAGGUGUGAAAUCUCGAGGCUCAACCUCGAAACUGCGCCUGAAACUGCUAGUCUAGAAUGUCGGAGGGGGCAGGGGAAUUUCACGUGUAGGGGUAAAAUCCGUAGAGAUGUGAAGGAACACCGGGGGCGAAGGCGCCUGCCUGGACGACUAUUGACGCUGAGGCGCGAAAGCGUGGGGAGCAAACAGGAUUAGAAACCCCCGUAGUCC